RNAcentral lists this ribosomal RNA (402 nucleotides) under uncultured bacterium. RNAcentral's name for it is "bacterial SSU rRNA". It matches the Rfam family "Bacterial small subunit ribosomal RNA", at positions 355 to 774 of the family's 1533-position model. The record is from RNAcentral.
UGGGGAAUCUUGCACAAUGGGGGCAACCCUGAUGCAGCGACGCCGCGUGAGCGAUGAAGCCCUUCGGGGCGUAAAGCUCUUUCGACCGGAACGAUAAUGACGGUACCGGGAGAAGAAGCUGCGGCUAACUACGUGCCAGCAGCCGCGGUAAUACGUAGGCAGCAAGCGUUGUUCGGAGUUACUGGGCGUAAAGAGUGCGUAGGCGGUUUUCUAAGUUUGGUGUGAAAUCUCCCGGCUUAACUGGGAGGGUGCGCCGAAGACUGGGAAGCUGGAGUGUGGGAAAGGCAGGCGGAAUUCCUGGUGUAGCGGUGAAAUGCGUAGAUAUCAGGAGGAACACCGGCGGUGUAGACGGCUUGCUAGACCAUAACUGACGCUGAGGCACGAAAGCGUGGGUAGCAAACA